GCCGAUGUGGCGGAAUUGGCAGACGCGCUAGACUCAAAAUCUAGUACCUUUACGGUGUGUGGGUUCGACCCCCUCCAUCGGUA
RNAcentral lists this transfer RNA (83 nucleotides) under Pedosphaera parvula Ellin514. It matches the Rfam family "tRNA". From Rfam's summary of the family: Transfer RNA (tRNA) molecules are approximately 80 nucleotides in length. Their secondary structure includes four short double-helical elements and three loops (D, anti-codon, and T loops). The record is from Rfam by way of RNAcentral. Lineage: Bacteria; Pseudomonadati; Verrucomicrobiota; Pedosphaerae; Pedosphaerales; Pedosphaeraceae.